This 350-nucleotide long non-coding RNA is filed under the name Lathyrus oleraceus (garden pea). RNAcentral's name for it is "Pisum sativum (pea) long non-coding RNA (PSAT_LNC028066)". Lineage: Eukaryota; Viridiplantae; Streptophyta; Magnoliopsida; Fabales; Fabaceae. The record is from RNAcentral.
AAUGGUAGUCUGCAAAGGGCGAGACUCCAUAGAUCUGUACAAGUUUGAAAUCGGUGAUAUAUAUUGGAGAGGGCUACAUUGAACAUAAUGACCUUUCCUCUACCAUUCUGAAUUUUCGAUGUAUUCAAAACUUCAGUCGACGACGAAUCGAGAAUCCCUGACGGAUGACAGAUGUACAGCACAGUCUUGUCAAGAUGCAGUUACUUGCCAAAUCCCUAAUUUUUGCCUAGAUUGCCCCAGUGUGAGGUGUUCAAUCUAGCGGGAUGCAAAUUCUCUUUUUUUUUUUUUCAAUGUCUCUAACUUUUGCCUGGAUCGCCCUUUCGGGUUUUCAAUCCACCGAGACGCUCUUU